AUGAAUCCGUACAUACCUGAUCUAAUUUAUACGCACUGAAUAUUCUGGGUAUAUACAUAGACAAAAAUCUAAUGUGUACGUACAAAAUAUUCUAUGUAUAUACAUAUAAACAUUUAACGGGUACAUACUAAACAGAUGAAUUCAUAUAUACCUAAUUCGUAAUAUAUCUAAUGUGUAGUAUUUUUCCUUCUAAAGAUAUGCUACCAUGCAUUGCGUGCUUAAUCACAUUUAUUUAUGAUAUACAUCAUAAUUGUUUCCAUACUGAACUGUUUCAGAAUUGGCAAUUAAUAAUGGGUUGACCCGUUACCUUCUAUACCUAUCACAAUAAUACGCAUCUAAAUGCAAUCAAACGGUGGAAAGGCAAGGAGCCUGGGCACUUAGGUGUCCCAUACUGAUGUCGAUUUGUAUGUUCUAUGUAGUAUUUACCAAAUCGGAGAGUAUGUACGCGUAGUAUGUAGUAUAUAAGAAUGUUUAGAUAGUAUAUAUAGUCCUUUUUAGGUAGUAUGCAUCGUAUUUUCAGUAUGCUCCCAAAUAUAUACGUAUUUCACAAAUAUAAUAAAACCCAUGGGUCAACUUGCAAUUUUUUCAUGUUACCCACUUUGAAUUAUCUUAUAUAUAGUAUAUAAACAUAUUUAGAAUGAUAAAGUACUAUAUAUAGUAUCAUAAGAUAGUAUACGAGACAUGUGGGGUAACUACCACCGGGUGGUAGGUGGGAUAACGCCAUUAAGAGUCUUAUCCUCAUAACAGUUUCUUAUUCUGCUAACACUUCUUCCCGCAUCGAGCCACCCAACCCACACACACGAAAAAAAACAAAGUCAACCCACCCCACCGUAAAAUACCCCUCCUCCCACCUUUCUCCUCCUCCGCGGCCUCCUCCCACCUCCUUCCUCCUCGGCCAAGCCUCUCCACCUCCUACCUCCCGACGGGUCGCUAGGGGCCACCCCCACCUUCCUCCGGUGGGCGGCCCCUCUGAUCCUGUCGCCGGUGCCUACCCCCGUCUCACCGUCGCCCUUGCUACCACACAAUGCCGGAUCUCGGCCAUCCCCCGGCUCCCCGCGCCACCCUGGGUAACUCGACCGCCGGAUCGCGGCCAUCCCCAGUCCCCCCACGCCGCCCUGGGCCUUUCUCCCCUUCCUCCACUCCCUCGAUUCAUCACCACCUCCCCUGAUGUACCGCGAUUUCGGGAGGACAGCGCCGCCAUGAUUCCCCCGAUCUGGGUGGUCGACGAUGGCGUCCAUGGCGGCUGGCGUUUGUCUCCUGCUGGUGCUGUGCCCCACGGCGGGGGAGGGAGGUUAGGGAGGGGAUGCAGAGGAUUUGUGGUCGGCGGCGGUAGGAGGCAGUACCGGGGUUCGGGCUGGUGAUGCAGCGUGUUGGGUGUGGGUGUUGGUCGCGGCUCAACGACGACCAUCACCUGCCUUGCGUGGCCAGCCCAACAGAGCUCCGGCGAGCACUUUCCCAUGGGGAUCAAGCUCUUCACCCACGGCUCCCCGAUUUUCAUUUUUUAUUCGUGAUUUUUCACUGCUUUUUUGUUGUCCGGCGUCCCGCCGAUGGCACUGACGUGCAGUUUGGGUAGUGCUCCUGAGAAGCUCCCAGCCGCCUCGAUGUGGUCCACACUGCAGUGCAGUGCAGGACUCCCUCUCCACAUCCCUUUCACAGUGGCCAUUGCCGUGCAGUUUGGCUGGUCCCCAGCAACAUGUAGAUAGUGUUGCGGUUCCAUUGCCGUGUUGUUGCGGCGGCCGUCCAUGGUGCGGCGAUGCGGGGUCGUGCUCCUCCUGGAGAUCAGCCCGGCCGGCGGCGCCGGCCAAACCUCCCCUAACCCCGGUUCGACACCGCCCCGGCGGGAAUCAAGUGGAGGGAGGCCAGGUCGAUGCGGUGGUGGCUGCCUUCCACUGCAGAUCCCAGGGCGGUCCCUCCCCACCCCAUGACGCGCGGAUGAGAUCCGGCGCCCAGCUUCCUCCGGGUCAACCCUUUUCUGUCCUCCUCUGCAUCGCGUGCAGUGCCCACCUCGCGCCGCUGCAGUGCGCGGCCGUCCACAAUGGUCCAUCAUCGACUCCAGCGCCCAUGGGAGUAGCUUUUGUCAACCCAUUCAGGUGAAGAAGCAGUUGCUACUGACGAAUCCCGUUGAUGUUCGACUCACAGUGCAGAAGUGUACUGCGUGGGGAGUCGAUGAUGGCUACACGCACCUGCUGAGUGCACUGCUUCAGCGACGACCUUUUGUGAUUUUCAUAUGCGGUUUAGUGUAAAUGUUGUUUGCAGUUUGCUCGGCUGAUACUCCGCCACUCAAGCAGCACGACCAUGGUGAUGCAGUGCACCGCGACUCCAGCGUGCAGUGGAGUGGGUGUGUGCCCUCCUCGAGUACUCCUCGACUCCACGCCACCUUGUAGUAUGGGCGUCAGUGAAUUCUUCUUCGUCGAAGAUAUGCAGCUCGUCGGCGAGUGUCUCGUGGUUCAGGCAGCACGGGCGUGCAGUCCACCACUUGACUUUUGUUUGUAUUUUGAGGUGGUGCAGUGCGGCGGUGUUUCUCCUUGGGGCAUGGGCGUGGAGUACAUUUUUUUUAUGAUAAAGUUGGGCGACGCAGUCCACUCCAUCCAUGUUUUGCAUUUUUUGGAGAUUUUUUUGAAGUGCACUCAGUUUGUGUAAAAGGAAUAUGUUCCAUUAUCCCUAUGUAUGAAGUGCAAAAAUUGUUCCGUGUUUCAA
Molecule: long non-coding RNA, 2697 nt
Organism: Aegilops tauschii subsp. strangulata
Lineage: Eukaryota; Viridiplantae; Streptophyta; Magnoliopsida; Poales; Poaceae
Source: RefSeq, a predicted model, not a curated record